GACAACUUCAAUAGUCUUUGGGAAUGGAAAGAACAAGAAAUAAGACAGGUAUCUACUAGGAGCCACUUGACAAUUCAAUGAAACGGAUGAAUAAUAGCAAACAUUAUAGAACUGUAUUGAUGGCAAUAUGAAUUACAAAGUAAAGGAAAUACAAUAAACCCUUCAAGAGGGCUGUACUCUCCACAAUAUGAUUUUCACUCACUAUUUAGCAUGCCCAAUCCUUUUCCCCACUUCCUUUAUUUAUAAGCUACUUGUAACAGUUUUUCCCUUCCAUUUUUACUCUCUAAUAGACUAAUUUUCUAUCCACUUGCGGGUUAUUCUUCUUCUAGGUCUUUCUAGAAUGCGCGAGUUGGAAUGAAGCCUAUCAAUACCCCGAGUUAUAAAUCCACCUUGUCCACAAGGUGGUAGUUAAUGAAGUGUUGGUGAUGCCAAUUGCAUGCUCUUCCAUCGUCAAGAUUUUGGUAGGAAAGAUUUCUAUCCCAUUUGAAGCACACACAUUUAAAGGUGUAGCUAGCAUGGUAUAUUUGGGUCCACCUGGAUUUUGGGCUGUCAUACCCACUUAAUUUUUGUCUUCAAUUAGUUAUGUCAUUUUGACAAUAGAGCCUAACCCAUUGGGACAUAAUAGAACAACUUCAGCCCAAGUGUCUAAUUUUAGCCCAUUAAUGAAUUUAAUCCCACUAGGUCUUCUAACUUAUUGUAAUCAGAUGGAGUGCAGAUAGCCGCCAGAUUUCCAGUGAGAUAUGCUAUCUUGAUGAGCCCUUCCAGACGCGAAACCUUCUUUACAUUGAGUUGGAUACGGUCGGCCCAAAGUGGUGCAAAGAAACCACCAGAAGGCUCCAACAGAUGCUUCUUUGUCAUUGAACGCAUCCAUCGCCAAAACCUUGCACGAUGUCUCUACCACAAUCUUCUUGUCGAGAUGCAGCCCCUUCUCCCUUUUUGUAUGAAGCUCGACAACCGUCAACCUCUUAAACAACGACGCCACCUUCAUCGUGUUAGCAGGUCGUAGUGUGGUGGUCACUGGGAUUGAGUCACGGGUUUUGGAAUGCCCCGCGAAUGGAACUACGCUGGUGGAGUAGUUUUGAUAAGGGAAAACACGUGGGUUGUAGCUAAUAUGUGGGCUGCUGGAGUUAGUUUUGAUUAUGGACGGGCCAAAACUUAAUUGGGCUUGUUUUAAAUACUCAUUUCGAUCUUCUACCUACUGGUCCACCUCCCUGCCAAAGUCCAAAUCCAUCCAAUUCAAUAAUUUCCAUUCGUUCCUCUUCUCCAGAUUUAGCCGAAUUGCAAAGAUCCUUUCCAUCUCCGAUCUCUUCUACUUUGGCAAUGGUGAUGGUAAGAUUUCAGUUAGUUUCCGAUUUCUUCUUACAAUGGUUUCCUCACAGCAGCUUCGACUAACUGCACUUUAUCCCACUUCGUUAGUUUUGGGUGGGAUUUUCUGUGUCUCAAUGUUUCCAGUCAAAUUCACCGGCAAAGGGGCUUCAGAAAUCGCCAGCUCAGGUGAGUUCUCUGCUAUUUCUUUUUCAUUCCACUCUCUUUCUUGCUAAUCCAUUUUUCUCAUCAUCAAAUCGAACCUCUCUAUCAUUCUAGACAUUGCUCUCAGAAAUUCAAUUUUCAUUGCACCUAACUCAAAUUGUAGGCGGUCAGUUCUCUCUUAUAAGGACUCCACUAUAGAACCGUAUUGAUGACAAGAUGAAUUACAGAAAUAAAGGAAAUACAAUCAGCAUUUCGAAAGGGUUGUACUCUCCACGAUAUAGUUUUAAUUCACUAUUUUGCAUGCCAAAUCCUUUCCCCUCCCCUUCUUUAUUUGAGAGCUAUUUGUAACUGUUUUUCUCUCCCACUUUUUAUACUCUAACAGUCUAGCUUUCCACCCAUUUGCAGGUUAUUCUUCUUCUUGGUCCUUCUAGAAUGUGUGAGGUGGAUUGGAGCCUAUCAGUAUCUUCAUAUCUCAAAGAAAAGUAUAUGAUGGAUUCAUUGAAAUAAACAAGUAUGCUUGGCUGUAAACCUUGUGAAACUCCGGUUGAGCCUAAUGGAAAAUUGGGUAAAGAGGCAAGAAAUCCAAUAUACGGGGAGAGAUAUGAGAGAAUAGUUGGAAGAUUGAUUUAUUUGUCACAUACUUAACUUGAUAUUGCUUUUGCAGUAAGCAUGGUCAGUUAAUAUAUGCACUAUCCAUUUCAAGGGCAUUUAGAUGCAGUUUAUAGGACUAGGAAAGUAUUGUUUUUUUUUGGGAAGAAUGUAGAAAGAGGUGUGGAAGUUUAUAUAGAUGCAGAUUGGGGCAGGCUCAAUUGAAUGAUAGAAAAUCCACUUCUGGUUAUGGUACAAUUGUUUGGGAAAAUUUAGUUAAAGGAAAAAUAAUGAAGUAGCCUGAAGUUGCGAAGGCAGAACUUCGAGCAUUAGUCCCUGAAGUGUGUGAAAUAAUUUGGAUAAGGAGACUACUAGAAGAAUUGAAGUUUCCGUGUAUGAAGCUUAUAAAGAUUAUUUGUGAUAAUAAGGCCGCAAUUAGUAUUACCUAUAAUUUGGUCCAUUAUGUUCUCACCAAGCAAGUGGAGAUUGACAAGCAUUUUCUAAAAGAGAAGAUCAAUAGUGGUGAAGUAUGUGUUUUGUUCGUGCUAUCCAAGGAGCAGGUAGCAAAUAUUUUUACGAGGGGUGUAGCAAGACAAAGCUUUGAAAAGUGUAUAGACAAGUUGGGGUGAUUAAUAUCUUCACACCGGCUUGAGGCGAGUGUUGAGAGGUUACGAUUUUAUUGUAAUAUAGUUAUCAUAGUUUAGUUUUAUCUUCGUUGAAAUUAAAUAAAUCCGGUAAGAUAAGAUAAGCCAGUUGGUUGGCUAGUUAGGAAUUGUUCCUUUUAUUUCUCUACAGAUUAUAUUCAAAUUAGAUAAGUCCUAUUUUUUAUGGGAUAUGAUAUUGUAUUCCCC
RNAcentral lists this long non-coding RNA (2909 nucleotides) under Olea europaea subsp. europaea. The record is from RNAcentral. Lineage: Eukaryota; Viridiplantae; Streptophyta; Magnoliopsida; Lamiales; Oleaceae.